AGAGUCAACACACAUAUGAGAACGGU
This 26-nucleotide non-coding RNA is filed under the name Rattus norvegicus (Norway rat). Lineage: Eukaryota; Metazoa; Chordata; Mammalia; Rodentia; Muridae. The record is from RNAcentral.